CGUGGUGGGAGACAGUGUCAGGCGGGCAGUUUGACUGGGGCGGUCGCCUCCUAAAAGGUAACGGAGGCGCUCAAAGGUUCCCUCAGAAUGGUUGGAAAUCAUUCAUAGAGUGUAAAGGCAUAAGGGAGCUUGACUGCGAGACCUACAAGUCGAGCAGGGUCGAAAGACGGACUUAGUGAUCCGGUGGUUCCGCAUGGAAGGGCCAUCGCUCAACGGAUAAAAGCUACCCCGGGGAUAACAGGCUUAUCUCCCCCAAGAGUUCACAUCGACGGGGAGGUUUGGCACCUCGAUGUCGGCUCAUCGCAUCCUGGGGCUGUAGUCGGUCCCAAGGGUUGGGCUGUUCGCCCAUUA
This 351-nucleotide ribosomal RNA is filed under the name Staphylococcus aureus. Its description in RNAcentral is "partial 23S ribosomal RNA". It matches the Rfam family "Bacterial large subunit ribosomal RNA", at positions 2240 to 2590 of the family's 2925-position model. Lineage: Bacteria; Bacillati; Bacillota; Bacilli; Caryophanales; Staphylococcaceae. The record is from RNAcentral.